UGGAAAGUGCUGGAGCUCAAACCCAGGGUCUGAUUCCAAAGCUCCUGCUCUGUUCACUAGGUUACAGCGUUAAUCCAAGCCCCAUAAAGAUGUUCAUGGCGCUCAUGUGAUUUUCUUCUAUUCUCUCCCAAGGUGGCCAAUGAAGUGCCAUUUGAUCUCAGGACACGAAGAUAGAAUCUGAAGAGAAAAAGAGAUACAGGGAGGCUCAAAGUGCACCAGCCCAGCCGUGACCUGCCGGUUUCAGCAUGGCUUUGUGGACUACGAACGCCACUCCUGUGCAUGGCUGGAGGCUGGAGGACUGUGUGACCUAACAGCGCCGGGGCCUCCUCACCAUCCUCCCGCCACCCCUGGCCCUUCUGCCCUGAAUGGGGAUCCCAGAACCACACUCAGACCGAUAAGGGCCUUCUUCCGCUCUGUCUCAGCCUCCUUCUCCACCACCUUCUGCUUCUGGGCUGCGAUGAGCAGCUUCGUCUUUUCGCUUUCCCUGAAAGGACAAACACAGGCAGCCGUGAGGCCGUUACAGCCAACGCUUCCGAGGAGCUUCACUGUCCCCUGGAGAAACCAAACUUGUGCCGAGGAGAGGCGAGCUUGGGUCGCUCACUCUUCCCAGAAGGCUGCUCGCUGUUCCAGGGGAGUCCUUUCACAGGCAAGUGUAGGAAGAGCUCUAACUGGUCGCCCCUCCUGGCCGUGGUCCUGCAGGGCCACAGCUGCCCUCUCUGGCCUGGGCCUCCCCCACCAGGGUCCUCAAUAAGAUCUUGCAAGGCGCUGAGAAGACUCCAUGAAACCUCAAAAUCUGGCUGGGACAUCGGAACUGAAUCACCUCCCUUACCGUCAGCUGCCACCUGCUUUAGGUAGCCAUUCUUCAUCACCUGUGCCCAAACAGAGGCCCAUGGAGGCUCAGUACUGGGCCCAAGCUAGCAUUGUAAACAUGCUCAUUAAUUUAAUA
Molecule: long non-coding RNA, 946 nt
Organism: Suricata suricatta (meerkat)
Lineage: Eukaryota; Metazoa; Chordata; Mammalia; Carnivora; Herpestidae
Exons: 4
Source: RefSeq, a predicted model, not a curated record